This is a transfer RNA of Camelus ferus (Wild Bactrian camel), 72 nucleotides long. It matches the Rfam family "tRNA". Rfam says of the family: Transfer RNA (tRNA) molecules are approximately 80 nucleotides in length. Their secondary structure includes four short double-helical elements and three loops (D, anti-codon, and T loops). Further hydrogen bonds mediate the characteristic L-shaped molecular structure. tRNAs have two regions of fundamental functional importance: the anti-codon, which is responsible for specific mRNA codon recognition, and the 3' end, to which the tRNAs corresponding amino acid is attached (by aminoacyl-tRNA synthetases). tRNAs cope with the degeneracy of the genetic code in two manners: having more than one tRNA (with a specific anti-codon) for a particular amino acid; and 'wobble' base-pairing, i.e. permitting non-standard base-pairing at the 3rd anti-codon position. NCBI's taxonomy places the organism in Eukaryota, Metazoa, Chordata, Mammalia, Artiodactyla, Camelidae. The record is from Rfam.
GAGGGUGUAGCUCAGGGGUAGAGCACGUGCUUAGCAUGCAUGAGGUCCUGGGUACCAUCCCCAGUACCUCCA